This 617-nucleotide unclassified non-coding RNA is filed under the name Hydrangea robusta. RNAcentral describes it as "sequence contains ITS1, 5.8S rRNA gene, ITS2". The stretch from base 223 to 378 matches the Rfam family "5.8S ribosomal RNA". The record is from RNAcentral. Lineage: Eukaryota; Viridiplantae; Streptophyta; Magnoliopsida; Cornales; Hydrangeaceae.
UUGUUGUCACCUGCAACGGCAGAACGACCAGCGAACUUGUGAAAACACACUCGGGGCGCCCAGCGUGCCCCUCGCUGCCGGGCCGCGCUCGUAACGGGCGCGAUCCCGGCACAAUAACGAACCCCGGCACGAUCUGUGCCAAGGAAAAUUGACGAAGACAGAGUCCCAUGCCGCCCCGUUCUGCGGGCGCGCGCUCGGGACGGAGCUUCCUUCACGAAACACGACUCUCGGCAACGGAUAUCUCGGCUCUCGCAUCGAUGAAGAACGUAGCGAAAUGCGAUACUUGGUGUGAAUUGCAGAAUCCCGUGAACCAUCGAGUCUUUGAACGCAAGUUGCGCUUGAAGCCAUUAGGCUGAAGGCACGUCUGCCUGGGCGUCUCGCAACACGUCGCCCCCGACCCUCCGUCUCUCUUCGAGCGCCGGAGCCCCGGGGGCAGAUGAUGGCCUCCUGUGCGCAAAGGCGCGCAGUUGGCCUAAAAGCAGAGUUCCUGACAACGGAUCGUCACGGCACGUGGUGGUUGAACAACCCCGUCGCGUUCUGCUGUUGGCGCACCCGUUGAACGGCGAAGCUACGACCCUUGCGCGUCGCCUCUCCGACGGCGCAUCGACCGCCACCCC